AAUGAACGCUGGCGGCAGGCCUAACACAUGCAAGUCGAGCGGAAGAAGGGAGCUUGCUCCUGGAUUCAGCGGCGGACGGGUGAGUAAUGCCUAGGAAUCUGCCUGGUCGUGGGGGAUAACGUCCGGAAACGGGCGCUUAUAUCGCAUCCGUCCUGAUGGAGAAAGUGGGGGAUCUUCGGACCUCACGCUAUCUGAUGAGCCUAAGUGGGAUUAGCGAGUUGGUGGGGUAAAGGCCUACCAAGGCGACGAUCCGUAACUGGUCUGAGAGGAUGAUCCGUCACACUGGAACUGAGACACGGUCCAGACUCCUACGGGAGGCAGCAGUGGGGAAUAUUGGACAAUGGGCGAAAGCCUGAUCCAGCAAUGCCGCGUGUGUGAAGAAGGUCUUCGGAUUGUAAAGCACUUUAAGUUGGGAGGAAGUGCAGUAAGUUUAUACCUGGCUAUUUUGACGGUACCAACAGAAUAAGCACCGGCUAACUUCGUG
Molecule: ribosomal RNA, 484 nt
Filed under: uncultured bacterium
Lineage: Bacteria
Description: partial 16S ribosomal RNA
Rfam family: Bacterial small subunit ribosomal RNA
Source: RNAcentral